This 377-nucleotide unclassified non-coding RNA is filed under the name uncultured Actinomycetes bacterium. Its description in RNAcentral is "uncultured actinobacterium contains 16S-23S intergenic spacer region". Lineage: Bacteria; Bacillati; Actinomycetota; Actinomycetes. The record is from RNAcentral.
UCCGAGUUGACCCCGGCAGUCUCCCAUGAGCCCCCGGCAUUACCCGCUGGCAACAUGGAACGAGGGUUGCGCUCGUUGCGGGACUUAACCCAACAUCUCACGACACGAGCUGACGACAACCAUGCACCACCUGUGCACGACCCUUACGGACCCCCCAUCUCUGGAAGAUUUUCGUGCAUGUCAAGCCUAGGUAAGGUUCUUCGCGUUGCAUCGAAUUAAGCAACAUGCUCCGCCGCUUGUGCGGGCCCCCGUCAAUUCCUUUGAGUUUUAGCCUUGCGGCCGUACUCCCCAGGCGGGGCGCUUAAUGCGUUAGCUGCGGCGCAGAAGACCGGAGAGGUCCCCCACACCUAGCGCCCAACGUUUACAGCGUGGACUAC